GUUUAGUCAGGUGGGGUGUGA
This 21-nucleotide microRNA is filed under the name Ornithorhynchus anatinus (platypus). Its description in RNAcentral is "oan-miR-1380-3p". Lineage: Eukaryota; Metazoa; Chordata; Mammalia; Monotremata; Ornithorhynchidae. The record is from miRBase by way of RNAcentral.